Molecule: ribosomal RNA, 491 nt
Filed under: uncultured bacterium
Lineage: Bacteria
Description: partial 16S ribosomal RNA
Rfam family: Bacterial small subunit ribosomal RNA
Source: RNAcentral
GAUGAACGCUGGCUACAGGCUUAACACAUGCAAGUCGAGGGGAAACGACGGGGAAGCUUGCUUCCCCGGGCGUCGACCGGCGCACGGGUGAGUAACGCGUAUCCAACCUGCCUCUGACUGAGGGAUAACCCGUCGAAAGUCGGCCUAAUACCUCAUGGCAUCGUCUGCGGGCAUCCAACGACGAUUAAAGAUUUCAUCGGUCAGAGAUGGGGAUGCGUCUGAUUAGCUUGUUGGCGGGGUAACGGCCCACCAAGGCGACGAUCAGUAGGGGUUCUGAGAGGAAGGUCCCCCACAUUGGAACUGAGACACGGUCCAAACUCCUACGGGAGGCAGCAGUGAGGAAUAUUGGUCAAUGGGCGAGAGCCUGAACCAGCCAAGUAGCGUGCAGGAUGACGGCCCUAUGGGUUGUGAACUGCUUUUAUGCGGGGAUAAAGUGAGGGACGUGUCCUUCAUUGCAGGUACCGCAUGAAUAAGGACCGGCUAAUUCCGUG